This 515-nucleotide ribosomal RNA is filed under the name uncultured bacterium. Its description in RNAcentral is "partial 16S ribosomal RNA". It matches the Rfam family "Bacterial small subunit ribosomal RNA", at positions 28 to 523 of the family's 1533-position model. The record is from RNAcentral.
GAUGAACGCUGGCGGCGUGCCUAAUACAUGCAAGUCGAGCGAAUGGAUUAAGAGCUUGCUCUUAUGAAGUUAGCGGCGGACGGGUGAGUAACACGUGGGUAACCUGCCCAUAAGACUGGGAUAACUCCGGGAAACCGGGGCUAAUACCGGAUAACAUUUUGAACCGCAUGGUUCGAAAUUGAAAGGCGGCUUCGGCUGUCACUUAUGGAUGGACCCGCGUCGCAUUAGCUAGUUGGUGAGGUAACGGCUCACCAAGGCAACGAUGCGUAGCCGACCUGAGAGGGUGAUCGGGCACACUGGGACUGAGAGACGGCCCAGACUCCUACGGGAGGCAGCAGUAGGGAAUCUUCCGCAAUGGACGAAAGCCUGACGGAGCAACGCCGCGUGAGUGAUGAAGGCUUUCGGGUCGUAAAACUCUGUUGUUAGGGAAGAACAAGUGCUAGUUGAAUAAGCUGGCACCUUGACGGUACCUAACCAGAAAGCCACGGCUAACUACGUGCCAGCCGCCGCCGUAA